GGAAACAUAGCUCAAUGGAAGAGCGUCAGGUACAAGCAAAGCACAGCUGAUGGUUGGCGGUUCGAAUCCGUCUGUUUCCU
Molecule: transfer RNA, 80 nt
Filed under: Lachnospiraceae bacterium KM106-2
Lineage: Bacteria; Bacillati; Bacillota; Clostridia; Lachnospirales; Lachnospiraceae
Rfam family: tRNA
About the family: Transfer RNA (tRNA) molecules are approximately 80 nucleotides in length.
Source: Rfam by way of RNAcentral